This 2007-nucleotide long non-coding RNA is filed under the name Sus scrofa (pig). Its description in RNAcentral is "lncRNA (ENSSSCG00015065623.1)". The record is from RNAcentral. Lineage: Eukaryota; Metazoa; Chordata; Mammalia; Artiodactyla; Suidae.
GCAGAGUGAAUGCACAAGGCAUGUGAAGAUACAGUGAGGGAACUCGUUUUGCUGGUAUCAAGGGGUUAUUUUGGAGAAGUAUCUGUCCAGUUCCAGUUCUGUUUCCUAGAACCUACUGGGUUGUACAUAUAACAACAAGGAUCAUUUUUAAAAGUGUUACUUCCGCAGACGCGGCUCGGAUCCCGCGUUGCGGUGGCUCGGUGUAGGCUGGGGGUUACAGCUCCGAUUAGACCCCUAGCCUGGGAACCUCCAUAUGCUGUGGGGGCAGCCUAAGAAAUAGCAAAAAGACAAAAAAAAAAAAAAGUUGUUACUUCCCCCUGCUUCUCUCUUUUCCCUUCUCCCCAUCAUGGAUGGCUCUGUGCUACAGUCCAGAAUUAUAAACUCCCCACUGGACAGUCUUCCUGCAGAUACCCCAAACUUUAUAUUUAUAGCAUUAUACUCAUUAUCUCUCCUUCUCCAAGCUUGCUUCUCUUCCUGUUUUUCUUAUUUCAUGUGGGAAUAUGACAUCAUCCCUGAAUCGUUCCUCUGCCCCCCAUCUCCAGUCAGUCACUGAGUGCUUUCUACUCUCUCUCCAAGUCCCUCUCAGUUCUUCUCCACCUUUCCAGUCUCACCGCCAUGAUCAUUUCAUAACAGCCUCCCUGCUUUCUGUUUCUCUUUUAUGUGUUUCAUCUUCCAGGAAGUAGCCAAGUUAUUUUUGUAAAGCAUAGAUUUGGUGGCAUGGCUCUCAAGGGCUGCUGGGAUGAUUGAACCCUGGCCCUGACCUGUCCUUCUGGCAGCACUGUCUGUGUUCCUUCCACACCACUUGCUGGUCCCUGGACACACCACCCACUGACACAUCACCAAGCCAUCGCUCCUGCUAGCUGCGCAUGCUCUAACUCCUCAGACAUCUCAUCCACCUUUUCCGCAUGAGUGAACUCAGUCUUCAAGCCCAGCUUAGAGGUCAUCUCUUCUGAUAACCCCAACCUUGCUGUCAGCCACAGAGCUCCUUGGCAUUUUGUUCAGAGCUCCAUUAGAAGGUUUUACUGGACCAUAUUUAGUGUAUAUGAUAUGACCCAUGUCCCUAUGAGAGUAUGAAUUAACAUGGUGAGCAGUGAAUGCACUGUGCCAAGCCAGGACUGUGCCAAGCGAUUUAUAUGCAAUAACCCUCAACAGCCCUGUGGGUGGGUGACAUCACUACCAUACUAUUUCUGAGCACAGGGUGGUCACGUCUCUCCAGUAAGAUCCCACAGCCAGGAAAUGGUAGAACCAGGAUUCAAACUGGGAAGUCCGCAUUCUCAAGCCCUACCUUAGACCACAUCCAUGAGGAUUCAAGGGCUUGUCUCAUUCACCUUCAUAUUUCCAGUGUCCAAUAUUGCUAUACAAUAAAUGUGUUUUAAAUACUAUAAUAGAAGAAAAAUGAUUAGGAAGCAGGAAUACUUAGUCAUUAAAAAACUGAUAGAUCACAAUGAAGGUAUUAUGCCGGUUCCUCCAUGCAAGGGUUAAAAAUGAGCUCUCUUGAACUUGUACCAUCAUUUUUAAGAAGAAAGAAUGAUGAUGCCAUAUAGUGGGAGGAUGUUACUCCACAAGUAGAUGCAGACUCCUGAGGGGUUCUUGAUCAGGAUUGGGAUGGCUCUCGGUGUGGCUGUGUUCCUCAGAAUGACCCAGAAGUCUGUGUUCUCAAAUGGCAGGUUGACUUUCAGAAAAAAAGUGUCUAUUCCUUGAAGACUGGAAUUCUGUCAGCAAAUAUGCCAACAAAAGAGUUAAAAGUAUUAUGUCAAGGCAAGCAUUUAAUUGAGUCCAAUGUUUCUUCUUAAGCCUCUGUGUAUAACGAAAUGCAGUCAGACUCUGAAACACCUGCAUGGCUUUUUCUGGUUCUGGUUAAUGUAUUGAAAAAUCAGGCACAGUCAUACCUCUAAGCAUAGAUGAAAUGUGCACUUAAUGAUGAGACAAGCAGUAAAGCUCCCUGGUAUGUACCAAUUAUUUGUUUGCAGAUGGGAAUGUUAACAUUUGUAGCAGCAAUGGAAUGGC